GGAAUUUUGGACAAUGGGCGCAAGCCUGAUCCAGCAAUGCCGCGUGAGUGAAGAAGGCCUUCGGGUUGUAAAGCUCUUUUGUCAGGGAAGAAACGGAUUUUUCUAAUACAGAGAUCUAAUGACGGUACCUGAAGAAUAAGCACCGGCUAACUACGUGCCAGCAGCCGCGGUAAUACGUAGGGUGCAAGCGUUAAUCGGAAUUACUGGGCGUAAAGCGUGCGCAGGCGGUUUUGUAAGACUGUCGUGAAAUCCCCGGGCUCAACCUGGGAAUGGCGAUGGUGACUGCAAGGCUAGAGUUUGGCAGAGGGGGGUAGAAUUCCACGUGUAGCAGUGAAAUGCGUAGAUAUGUGGAGGAACACCGAUGGCGAAGGCAGCCCCCUGGGUCAAAACUGACGCUCAUGCACGAAAGCGUGGGGAGCAAACAGGAUUAGAUACCCGUG
Molecule: ribosomal RNA, 440 nt
Filed under: uncultured Duganella sp.
Lineage: Bacteria; Pseudomonadati; Pseudomonadota; Betaproteobacteria; Burkholderiales; Oxalobacteraceae
Description: bacterial SSU rRNA
Rfam family: Bacterial small subunit ribosomal RNA
Source: RNAcentral